AUGAAAGACACUAGGAAAAGCUUGGAUUACCGAAAAAGAGAAAAUCAGUGGGUCCAGUGCUCACUACUUCACAUGCCUUGUUACAGUUGCAUUAGAGGACAGAUCAUAACCACUAGAAAGAUUCUAAUUGGCCUACUUGGGAUUAGAAAUCUAUUCUGGCACAAAGAUCUGUAUGGUCAAGCCUUGGAACCAAGUAAAACAGGAGCUCCUAGCCCUACUCUUCAGCUUAAAACAUGUCAGAAUGCUGAUUAAUAAACUAUAAUGUGCACAAAAAGUGCCUACAAAGCUCAAGUUCUGCAUCUUUUCUUCUACCAUUCACUCAUUUUCUUAUUCUUCAAUGAUCUCAAAGCCAUUUGUGUCAUGUUCACUAUUACUGCUAGGUAGUUCCUCCUUAUCCCCAAUGCGGCUUCUCUACAAACACAUACAUGCACAUUCACACAUAAUCUUCCUGCGCAUUUACUUCCUUGAAAAGUUAGCCCUUCUGAGAGAAAUGUUUUCCUUGAUUUUAAGCAGUUCCUUAUAUUUUGUAAAUAAA
This 535-nucleotide long non-coding RNA is filed under the name Chinchilla lanigera (long-tailed chinchilla). RNAcentral's name for it is "lncRNA (ENSCLAG00000023773.1)". Lineage: Eukaryota; Metazoa; Chordata; Mammalia; Rodentia; Chinchillidae. The record is from RNAcentral.